Molecule: long non-coding RNA, 247 nt
Filed under: Gossypium barbadense (sea-island cotton)
Lineage: Eukaryota; Viridiplantae; Streptophyta; Magnoliopsida; Malvales; Malvaceae
Description: long non-coding RNA (GBAR_LNC008500)
Source: RNAcentral
GAGUGGUACAUGUGUACCGUGAAGGUAAUCGUGCUGCCGAUGAAAUGGCUGCGUUGUCGACUGAACAACCGUUUAGAAGGAAGGUGUAUUAUGAGCCACCUGCCGGGGUAUUGCAUCUGUUAGAGCAGGAUGAGCAAGUAGCAGCUUGGCAACGAGUUGCAAUAGUGUAGCUACACUGCAUGUUUCUUUUCUUAUAAAAAAAAAUUGUAAAAUGGGUAAUGGGAGAAGCAAUGGGAAAGUAUUUAAA